This 166-nucleotide ribosomal RNA is filed under the name uncultured Streptococcus sp. RNAcentral describes it as "partial 16S ribosomal RNA". It matches the Rfam family "Bacterial small subunit ribosomal RNA", at positions 1218 to 1382 of the family's 1533-position model. The record is from RNAcentral. Lineage: Bacteria; Bacillati; Bacillota; Bacilli; Lactobacillales; Streptococcaceae.
ACACGUGCUACAAUGGUUGGUACAACGAGUUGCGAGUCGGUGACGGGCGAGCUAAUCUCUUAAAGCCAAUCUCAGUUCGGAUUGUAGGCUGCAACUCGCCUACAUGAAGUCGGAAUCGCUAGUAAUCGCGGAUCAGCACGCCGCGGUGAAUACGUUCCCGGGCCUU